AUUGAACGCUGGCGGCAUGCUUUACACAUGCAAGUCGAACGGUAACAGGCCGCAAGGUGCUGACGAGUGGCGAACGGGUGAGUAAUGCAUCGGAACGUGCCCAGUCGUGGGGGAUAACUACUCGAAAGAGUAGCUAAUACCGCAUACGAUCUAUGGAUGAAAGCGGGGGACCGUAAGGCCUCGCGCGAUUGGAGCGGCCGAUGUCAGAUUAGGUAGUUGGUGGGGUAAAGGCUCACCAAGCCAACGAUCUGUAGCUGGUCUGAGAGGACAACCAGCCACACUGGGACUGAGACACGGCCCAGACUCCUACGGGAGGCAGCAGUGGGGAAUUUUGGACAAUGGGCGCAAGCCUGAUCCAGCAAUGCCGCGUGCAGGAAGAAGGCCUUCGGGUUGUAAACUGCUUUUGUACGGAACGAAACGGCUCUGGUUAAUACCCGGGACUAAUGACAGUACCGGAAGAAUAAGCACCGGCUAACUACGUG
Molecule: ribosomal RNA, 482 nt
Filed under: uncultured bacterium
Lineage: Bacteria
Description: partial 16S ribosomal RNA
Rfam family: Bacterial small subunit ribosomal RNA
Source: RNAcentral